Molecule: ribosomal RNA, 229 nt
Filed under: uncultured bacterium
Lineage: Bacteria
Description: partial 16S ribosomal RNA
Rfam family: Bacterial small subunit ribosomal RNA
Source: RNAcentral
UGCGUAGGCGGAAUAUUAAGUCAGUGGUGAAAUCCUGCGGCUCAACCGUAGAACUGCCAUUGAUACUGAUAUUCUUGAAUGUAGUUGAGGUAGGCGGAAUGUGUAAUGUAGCGGUGAAAUGCUUAGAUAUUACACAGAACACCGAUUGCGAAGGCAGCUUACUAAACUAUGAUUGACGCUGAGGCACGAAAGCGUGGGGAGCGGACAGGAUUAGAUACCCUGGUAGUCC